This 814-nucleotide ribosomal RNA is filed under the name Helix pomatia (Roman snail). Its description in RNAcentral is "partial 16S ribosomal RNA". The record is from RNAcentral. Lineage: Eukaryota; Metazoa; Mollusca; Gastropoda; Stylommatophora; Helicidae.
ACUAACAAGGAAAAAAUAAAUGUGUUAUCACGAAGGAAUGUGAGCUAAACGCACAUAUGGUCUAUUGGCAUGCGUCGCAUAGCACGUAAUAAAUGUACGUUUAGGGGUGAUAGGCUUUUCAAACGUUCCUAUAACUUGUUUCAUAUGAAAAGUAUUAAGUACCUAAACAAAUUUAAAAAGUUAAGCUUUUAAAUAACUAUUAAAGAUAUUAUCCCCUUGUAGUGUAGUUUAAUAGCUAUCUACAUAUUAACUUAAUAUAAAGUAUAAUAGUUUAUAUUUUAUAAUAUGACGUUAACAAUUUUGUUUAAUAUUUGAAAAUGUUAGUAUUAGUAAUAUUAGUAUAUGUGCUAAAGGAACUCGGCAAAAAACCACUCAACUGUUUAUCAAAAACAUAGCUAUAUGAAUUAAUAUAUAGUUAUUUCUGCUCAAUGAUUUAAAUAGCCGCAGUACUCUGACUGUGCAAAGGUAGCAUAAUCAGUUGGCUUUUAAUUAGAGUCUGGUAUGAACGAAAAUAUGGGUAGUAACUGUCUUAGCACAUUUUUUCGAACUUAUUAAACAAGUGCAAAUGCUUGUAAUUUAACAAUAGACGAGAAGACCCUAGAAACUUGGACAGUUUUUGUUGGGGCGACAGAAUUACACUUAACUAAUCUUAUAAUACACGACGCGAUGUUGAAAGAAUAAGUUACUCUAGGGAUAACAGCAUAAUUUCAUUAGUUUGUGACCUCGAUGUUGGACUAGGUACUAUACCCUUAAGGCAAGGAUAUAUUAUGCUCUGUUCGAGCAAAAUUACCUACAUGAUCUGAGUUCAGACCGG